This 370-nucleotide ribosomal RNA is filed under the name uncultured eukaryote. Its description in RNAcentral is "partial 18S ribosomal RNA". It matches the Rfam family "Eukaryotic small subunit ribosomal RNA", at positions 592 to 976 of the family's 1831-position model. The record is from RNAcentral.
CAAUAGCGUAUAUUAAAGUUGUUGCAGUUAAAAAGCUCGUAGUUGGAUUUCUGGUCGGAAGCUCCUGUCCUCUGAUGAGCGUACAAGUGCGUCCUACCAUCCUUCUGUUAACCUUUAAGGCUUUCGCGGCUUUCUAGGGGCUCAGAUAUUUUACCUUGAGAAAAUUAGAGUGUUUCAGGCAGGCUGGCGCCGGAAUACAUUAGCAUGGAAUAAUGGAAUAGGACUUUUGCCUCUUCUGUUGGUCAUGAGGCUCGAGUAAUGAUUAAUAGGGAUAGUUGGGGGCAUUAGUACUUAACUGUCAGAGGUGAAAUUCUCGGAUUUGUUAAAGACUAACUUAUGCGAAAGCAUUUGCCAAGGAUGUUUUCAUUGA